GUAAAAGCACUUCUUGAGCCUCUUUUAGUGCUUACAUAGAUCCCUUUUCACUUUGUGGUUUGAUCUGAAAUGUGAACUAAAAUACUAUGUCCAUCAUUAUCUGUGCACCAUUAUGCUACAUGUACCUUUAACAUCUAGUCUAUGUUGUGACUGGGAUCGAAACAUUCAGAGAAAAUGGCACAAUCAAAAUCAUAAAAGGAGAUACCAAUAAGGAAGUGUGACACUUUCUGUUCCCUAUGUCAGUGGAACUGCGAUUGGGUGGUCGAUGAACCGAUUAGAUGUGAAUGAUGUGAAAAACGGACAAAACACACUUGCACAACAGUGACGUAUUUGCCCUUUGAACAAAACCGAAGUAGGGCAGAGAAACUCGGACAUAGCACAGAAAGACAAACUUGACAGAUGUUAUAAAGGGGAACUGACAUCAGUUUUACAAUACUCACUUAACAUUAUCUCAAGAUGAGUAAACCACUGUGUAAAACUACAGUGUGCAAAAUUGAUUCACACAGGGUUUUCAUCUACAGUGCAUCAUUCCUAAGCUAAAUGACAUAACAGAAAAAAAAAGAAAAAAAAUACUACAAAUCGAUGUGAAUGGCAUGCAGGUGCAGUGUCAUAAUACAGGAUUAAAUUCCCGCGAUCCAUGCCUGAAAUUGAGUGGGCAGGCUUCUUAACAUAAAUCUUUACAAAUGACACAGUUUAGCAGUCAAACACGGGUCUGCUUCCUCUCACUCAUGCGCUCUACACACAAGAGAUGACAUCAUAUUGGGUCAGCUUGGGUUUUAGUGCUCAGCUUGCUAUCUACAUCUGCCAUUUCGAGCGCGCCGUAUUAGCCUACAUUUACUUUUAACUACUGCCCAUUUAAUGGAGCACCGUCUCGUGUGCAGGUGAAGAUGUCCGGUACAAUUCAAGCCAUGAAUGACUUAUAUAAUAAAACAAUGAAUGACGUACCGUUGUUGUCUUUGCAUUAAAUUAGUGCAGUCUAAUCCUACAAUCUAAAUCCUAAACCCCCCACAAAAGCAGAACAAAACAGGGUGUGCAGAUCAUGAUCGCCUGUGUAAAAAGGCUUCAGAUAGACGUAGUAAAAGUAUGCGUAGUGUCAUGCAUAGUGGACGUUACACUGUCUCAACCGAAAGCCAUUGUGACCGUGCGUUGAUAGUAAAAGCUCACUCACAACAAUGUGCAAUGGAAGGUACCACAGUCAUUUUGGACGUGACAGAUUCAAACGGACUGACACUCACACUGCGUGAGACUGCUAAAAUAACACCAUGGACAAGUUUAUACACCACCCAGCCACCUUGUCUGUUGCAAAAAAAAAAACCCCAAACGUUCACUUCACUACAAGCUGUCAUUCGUUUUCUCAGCAUACUCACCCCCCGAGGAACAAACCAAACAGCAAAGCUUCUUCUUCGUCAGUUCACAGCGUAAAAAAAUACCCACAAUUCAGCCUAGGCUUUAAAAAGGUGCAAUAACGAGCAAACGUGCACACUUCGUUAAAGCCGUUAAAAACCAAACCUACGCACUUAACUCCAGCGAGCUGAUGCUUGUCUCAGUACUCACCACCUCUGAGUUGCGUUCAAACAACAAGCCGAACAACGUCGAAAACAGGCGAUGAUAGUCAUUACCAACUUCAGGUGCAACCUAAUCGAC
This is a long non-coding RNA of Astatotilapia calliptera (eastern happy), 1644 nucleotides long. The record is from Ensembl. Lineage: Eukaryota; Metazoa; Chordata; Actinopteri; Cichliformes; Cichlidae.